CGUCUCAAGGAGCAGAUGGCAAAGCCUGCUACGGGUCCAGCCCUGAUGGCACAGCUGCAGAAGCUGGCUGGGGAUAUAGCGGUUCUUCUUUACAUCCCGCUUCUUCUUGCUUCACCCUCUCUAUGCCUGAGGAUCUCGCUGUCGACUUAGAGGAUUAAAAGCACACAGGAACCUUGGGGGCAGUGACUCUGAACCCCCUUAGCUUUCCCGAUGGAACACUCCAGGCUCCUGGACCGCUCCUCGUGUCUCCUGGUCUCCAUCACUCUCAUCACACUCAUGGCUUUCCUGGGCUGACUUCCAGUUUCCCCACUUCCGAAAGCCUGCUGAGCACGCCGGACACACUCCUCUGAGUCCAGAAUCGAAAUACUGAUGCACAAGGUCCUGAUAACAUGGGAAAUACUGAGGGGUCGUGCUGAUCGGAGCAGCAGGAGGGGGGCUCUGUAUUGACUGUCGCAGGCAGCCCACGGCCCGGGCAGCCCAGAAGACUGAGCUGACGUUCACCAGCUGCGAGGGAAUCAAGUGGGAUCCUGUCUAGCUGUCUGCCGUCACUCUGGGCAGAAACCGCUGGCUCCUCAAGCAGACUGGCCUCCCACAGGACUGCCCCAGAGCCGGCCCGGACACAGUUCACCCGCCCCCAGCAGAGUGUGCCCGGCAGCCGGCGGUGAGCUCCGCAAACCCAGAUGCCCUUGUGAUUCAGACGCUCCCCC
Ailuropoda melanoleuca (giant panda) is the source of this 707-nucleotide long non-coding RNA. RefSeq lists it as uncharacterized. The record is from RefSeq and is a predicted model, not a curated record. Lineage: Eukaryota; Metazoa; Chordata; Mammalia; Carnivora; Ursidae. The transcript has 3 exons.